UUAUGUGCUUGAGCAUAUGAAGUCUCUUGCUUGUGUGCUUGAGCAUUAGAAGUCUUUUACUUUAUGUUUGAUCAUUGGAAGUCUCUUACUUGUGUGCUUGAGCAAAUUGUAAUCUUGUGUUAGUAUAUUCAAAUCUUUUGGAAGUUCAAAGGAAUUGAAUACUCACGGUUUGUGAGAGGAAGCAAGAUAAAUUUAUGUAUCUCCUUCUUUCCUUCAUUCCUUAUCCACUACUUAUCAUUCACCUCUGAUUUAGACUCUAGACCAUGUGUUUAGAAUCUGAGUAGUUUUAAAAAGAAAAAAAGUCUAACACAAUCCAACCCUCCUUUCUUAUUUUUUUCUCACCUUUAAUUAUUACUCGGUAUAUCAGCUAUGGAACUCUCUUUGACAUGAGCAGUAAAUGCCACAACAUUUUU
This 413-nucleotide long non-coding RNA is filed under the name Lathyrus oleraceus (garden pea). RNAcentral describes it as "Pisum sativum (pea) long non-coding RNA (PSAT_LNC033696)". Lineage: Eukaryota; Viridiplantae; Streptophyta; Magnoliopsida; Fabales; Fabaceae. The record is from RNAcentral.